This 269-nucleotide ribosomal RNA is filed under the name uncultured bacterium. RNAcentral's name for it is "partial 16S ribosomal RNA". It matches the Rfam family "Bacterial small subunit ribosomal RNA", at positions 1223 to 1500 of the family's 1533-position model. The record is from RNAcentral.
UGUUACAAUGGCAGGUACAGAGGGAUGCUACCGGGCGACCGGAUGCGGAUCUCGAAAGCCUGUCCCAGUUCGGACUGGAGUCUGCAACCCGACUCCACGAAGUUGGAUUCGCUAGUAAUCGCGCAUCAGCCAUGGCGCGGUGAAUACGUUCCCGGGCCUUGUACACACCGCCCGUCAAGCCAUGGGAGCCGGGGGCGCCUGAAGUCCGGGACCGCGAGGACCGGCCUAGGGCGAAACUGGUAACUGGGGCUAAGUCGUAACAAGGUAGC